GCGUGGAUGAAGAAGGUCUUCGGAUUGUAAAGUCCUUUCGACGGGGACGAUGAUGACGGUACCCGUAGAAGAAGCCCCGGCUAACUUCGUGCCAGCAGCCGCGGUAAUACGAAGGGGGCUAGCGUUACUCGGAAUUACUGGGCGUAAAGGGCGCGUAGGCGGCGAGAUAAGUCAGGCGUGAAAUUCCCGGGCUCAACCUGGGGACUGCGCUUGAGACUGUUUUGCUAGAGGAUGGAAGAGGGUCGUGGAAUUCCCAGUGUAGAGGUGAAAUUCGU
Molecule: ribosomal RNA, 275 nt
Filed under: uncultured bacterium
Lineage: Bacteria
Description: partial 16S ribosomal RNA
Rfam family: Bacterial small subunit ribosomal RNA
Source: RNAcentral